AUUAGAAAUGAAAAUGAGAUUUAACCCUAGAAUAAAAUAUAUUUUAGACGGCACCUUUUAGACGACAUUUUAUUCUACUGUUUUUAAUAUUUGAUAUGUAUUGACAACACAAUUAAAAAUUACUAAUAAGGAUAUUUUUAUUAAAUACUGAUAAAAAUUUUUCGACGCUAUAUUAAACAUCGCUAUAUUUAUUCUGACAUGCUCAUUUAAAGAUUCUUUAUCCGACACUUUUAGAAGC
This 238-nucleotide long non-coding RNA is filed under the name Ananas comosus (pineapple). Its description in RNAcentral is "long non-coding RNA (ACOM_LNC002298)". Lineage: Eukaryota; Viridiplantae; Streptophyta; Magnoliopsida; Poales; Bromeliaceae. The record is from RNAcentral.